GACGAACCGAGCGAACGUUGUUCGGAAUCACUGGGCUUAAAGGGCGCGUAGGCGGGCGGCCGCGUCCGGGGUGAAAUCCCACGGCUCAACCGUGGAACGGCCUCGGAUACGGGCGCCUGGAGGCGGGUAGGGGCAGGCGGAACUGUGGGUGGAGCGGUGAAAUGCGUUGAGAUCCACAGGAACUCCGGUGGCGAAGGCGGCCUGCUGGACCCGAACUGACGCUGAGGCGCGAAAGCCAGGGGAGCGGAACGGGAAUUAGAGUACCCUGGUAAGUC
RNAcentral lists this ribosomal RNA (275 nucleotides) under uncultured bacterium. RNAcentral describes it as "partial 16S ribosomal RNA". It matches the Rfam family "Bacterial small subunit ribosomal RNA", at positions 524 to 795 of the family's 1533-position model. The record is from RNAcentral.